AACCUUACCAGGUCUUGACAUCCCCUGACACCCGAGAGAGUCGGUCGUUCCCCUUCGGGGGGACAGGGUGACAGGUGGUGCAUGGUUGUCGUCAGCUCGUGUCGUGAGAUGUUGGGUUAAGUCCCGCAACGAGCGCAACCCUCGACCUUAGUUGCCAGCAUUCAGUUGGGCACUCUAAGGUGACUGCCGGCUAAAAAGUCGGAGGAAGGUGGGGAUGACGUCAAAUCAUCAUGCCCCUUAUGACCUGGGCUACACACGUGCUACAAUGGGCGGUACAAAGGGUCGCGAACCCGCGAGGGGGGAGCCAAUCCCAAAAAGCCGCUCUCAGUUCGGAUUGCAGGCUGCAACUCGCCUGCAUGAAGCCGGAAUCGCUAGUAAUCGCGGAUCAGCAUGCCGCGGUGAAUACGUUCCCGGGCCUU
RNAcentral lists this ribosomal RNA (419 nucleotides) under uncultured Anoxybacillus sp. Its description in RNAcentral is "bacterial SSU rRNA". It matches the Rfam family "Bacterial small subunit ribosomal RNA", at positions 967 to 1382 of the family's 1533-position model. The record is from RNAcentral. Lineage: Bacteria; Bacillati; Bacillota; Bacilli; Caryophanales; Anoxybacillaceae.